CGUAAUGAUAUCGUAACCACUCCUAGUCACAGUGUGAUUCCAUGGGAUUUAGAUGGGAAGAGCCACCUUCAAGGGAGCAGCACCACUUUAUGGGCCUGGCCUUGACUCAAUGGACCAGCUUUGACUAAAUGGGCCAGCGCUGACAUCCACAGCACUCAGUCCCUAAACUGGAGAUGUGGUGUGACCAGCAGGCUCACAUUUCUGCUACCGUGACUCCUGGGUAAUGACGAACUGCAACCUGAAACUGGAAGCAGGGUCUCUCCAUGAAUCUGGAACUUCCUAACUCGGCUGUACUCCCUGUUCUGCAAGAUCUGCCUGUGUCCACCUCCCAAACUUAAGUCCUCAUGCUUGUGCAGUAAGCUUUUUACUGGGCCAUGUCUCCAGCCAGUACACUGAUUCUGCAAAGCACCUACCAUCCACAUUUCCCAAAGAAUUCAUCUGAGGCUCGGAGGAAGAUUUGAAAAUCAAGUGCUUGGACUGGUGAGACCGCUCAGCAGAUAGACACCUGCCACUAAACUUGUCAAUCUGCAUUUGACCCCUGGGACCCACGUAUCUUGGGAGUUGUAUGCUGACCUGGUAGGGUGCCAUAGCACACCCACACCCACUCUCUUGGAUGUACACAACAAUCUAGCAAAAACUUCAGAAACAAAGAAAAUCAGGUCCCCACUCUCACUAGCACAGGCAACUUCUCUGGCUUGCUGCCUGCUGUAGGGAAUGUUCUUGAUUCCAAGGGAGGCUAGGCUCCUAAAAACAUUCUAGAGAGUUGUCGUCCUUCAGGGGCUGAUUGUAAAGACCACACUCUGAGAGGAAAGACACCCAGAAAAGAUAACUAGGUGAAGCCAUUUAGGUAGGAAGUGAAAACAGCCUCAAACCUUGGGAAGGCCCUAAAGACCAGUGGACCCCAUUUUUUUUCAGUUACUUUUCACAUCAAAUCCCUGAGCUUUUAGCAAACCACCUCCCAAGUAAUGAAGAAAAACCUAGUGAGUUCCUGCUUGUCGGUCAUGCAAAUGAAGUAGCAACCAACUUCAGCCAUUCUAGCAUGAUGCCAUCAACUAUAAUCACAGAAUGGCAAAUUCCCAAAGGAAAGGAUGGCAGUCAGCAGGAGGCUGUCCAUGAAAACCCACUCAUUCCUCCUCCAGCAACAGAAGAGGAUUUGAAGCAUUAAAUCAGCUUUCUUACACAA
Long non-coding RNA from Mastomys coucha (southern multimammate mouse), 1183 nucleotides. RefSeq lists it as uncharacterized. NCBI's taxonomy places the organism in Eukaryota, Metazoa, Chordata, Mammalia, Rodentia, Muridae. The record is from RefSeq and is a predicted model, not a curated record. The transcript has 3 exons.